Long non-coding RNA from Crotalus tigris (Tiger rattlesnake), 1132 nucleotides. RefSeq lists it as uncharacterized. The record is from RefSeq and is a predicted model, not a curated record. The transcript is spliced from 4 exons. NCBI's taxonomy places the organism in Eukaryota, Metazoa, Chordata, Lepidosauria, Squamata, Viperidae.
GAGAGAUCCGCCCCGCCCGCGAUUCUCCCUUGAGGCCGCCCUCUUGCUCCAGCCCUAGUUAUGAAUCUCUGAGGCCCGCGAAGAAGGCCGACCGCGAGCGACUCUCACAAUGCUACGAAAUUUGGGAGGAGUGUCUGCACAUUCCAUGCAAUUGGGUAGAGUUGGGAUGCUCUUAAACAACAUCAUAUGAUGGGACCUAGAAAGUGUUGUAGCAGCUUUCCUCUGGAACAGCAUCGCCUCAGAGAUCUUUGGCUCCUUUCCUGGUUUCAUUCAAAAGGUUUGACAAACAAACAGCAUAACAGUGCUUGUCCAACUCUUUAGGAAAUGAUAACAAAGCAGUUGUAGGUGAGGCUGGCAGAGGAUUGAAGAAGAAGUGCUGGAUGGCCAGGAAUAAUAAAGGAAUCUGUCCCUGAAGCAGAAAAUGGCAAGGAAUAUCUGCCCUUUCUUCCCCCUUCUCUUUUCGGAUAAAGAUGAUUCUCCAAAUAACAUUUAAAAAAAGAAAAAGUAAAGAAAACAUGUAAAAACUGUUUUAUUUUUAAGUAGUUGCAAAUAAAAUGUUUGUUUAUUUGUUCAAUUUCUAUAUCUGCCCAUCUUUGUAAAUGACCCUGGGCAGCUUACAAUUCAGAACAUAUAUUACAAUUAAAAAAAAUGUUUUAAAACUAUAAAACCAGUAGAAAACAUUAAAACAUCCAAUUUAAAAUAUUUGGCUCUUUAGCAAUAUAGCCAGGAAACAGCUAUAUUGGCAUAUAGCUCGGGAACAUAGUCAGGAGCAUGAAGUGGCAAAGAAGAUACAACUACACAACUGUUGCUAUCAUGAGCAAUGAUGGUAUUACCCCUCUCAAGGUGAUGCUGAUCUUUUCCUAAUAUAGAGAGAAAGUGUUUCCAAGUGCCAUAAAACACAUCCUCACAGAGCUUCUAUAAACAAUGUUAAAAUUGGGAUAAAAUAUUAGGUUUAUACACAAAAAAAAUACAAAAUAAAUUUAUGCUAAUUUUUUUCUGCUAUUUUUUAACACAUUCUUUAAGAUACCUGUUUUCUUAAAAGCAAUACCCACUGACUCAGUAAUUCCUAGUGUCUUCGGAUUCAACUUCCAUAGCUUUUGGAAAGAUGGAAUAAACCCUACUUCUCUUCUCA